AACGUGGGUAACCUGCCUUAUAGUGGGGGAUAGCCUUUCGAAAGGAAGAUUAAUACCGCAUAAGAUUGUAGUAUCGCAUGAUAUAGCGAUUAAAGGAGCAAUUCGCUAUAAGAUGGACCCGCGUCGCAUUAGCUAGUUGGUGAGGUAAUGGCUCACCAAGGCGACGAUGCGUAGCCGACCUGAGAGGGUGAUCGGCCACAUUGGGACUGAGACACGGCCCAGACUCCUACGGGAGGCAGCAUG
Molecule: ribosomal RNA, 243 nt
Filed under: uncultured bacterium
Lineage: Bacteria
Description: partial 16S ribosomal RNA
Rfam family: Bacterial small subunit ribosomal RNA
Source: RNAcentral